RNAcentral lists this transfer RNA (73 nucleotides) under Chloroflexota bacterium. Its description in RNAcentral is "Chloroflexi bacterium (hot springs metagenome) tRNA-His". It matches the Rfam family "tRNA". From Rfam's summary of the family: Transfer RNA (tRNA) molecules are approximately 80 nucleotides in length. Lineage: Bacteria; Bacillati; Chloroflexota. The record is from RNAcentral.
GUGGCUGUAGCUCAGCUGGCAGAGCGCCACACUGUGGAUGUGGUUGUCGUGGGUUCGAGCCCCAUCAGCCACC